UACGUAGGGUGCAAGCGGUGUCCGGAAUUAUUGGGCGUAAAGAGCUCGUAGGCGGUUUGUCGCGUCUGCUGUGAAAACCUAAGGCUCAACCUUGGGCUUGCAGUGGGUACGGGCAGACUAGAGUGCGGUAGGGGUGACUGGAAUUCCUGGUGUAGCGGUGGAAUGCGCAGAUAUCAGGAGGAACACCGAUGGCGAAGGCAGGUCACUGGGCCGCAACUGACGCUGAGGAGCGAAAGCAUGGGGAGCGAACAGG
Molecule: ribosomal RNA, 253 nt
Filed under: uncultured bacterium
Lineage: Bacteria
Description: partial 16S ribosomal RNA
Rfam family: Bacterial small subunit ribosomal RNA
Source: RNAcentral